RNAcentral lists this transfer RNA (76 nucleotides) under bacterium. RNAcentral's name for it is "tRNA-Ala". It matches the Rfam family "tRNA". Rfam says of the family: Transfer RNA (tRNA) molecules are approximately 80 nucleotides in length. Their secondary structure includes four short double-helical elements and three loops (D, anti-codon, and T loops). The record is from RNAcentral.
GGGGGAUUAGCUCAGUUGGUAGAGCGAUUGCAUGGCAUGCAAUAGGUCAGGAGUUCGAGCCUCCUAUCCUCCACCA